This 492-nucleotide ribosomal RNA is filed under the name uncultured bacterium. RNAcentral describes it as "partial 16S ribosomal RNA". It matches the Rfam family "Bacterial small subunit ribosomal RNA", at positions 29 to 507 of the family's 1533-position model. The record is from RNAcentral.
AGUGAACGCUGGCGGUAGGCCUAACACAUGCAAGUCGAACGGCAGCACAGUAAGAGCUUGCUCUUACGGGUGGCGAGUGGCGGACGGGUGAGGAAUACAUCGGAAUCUACUUUUUCGUGGGGGAUAACGUAGGGAAACUUACGCUAAUACCGCAUACGACCUACGGGUGAAAGCAGGGGAUCUUCGGACCUUGCGCGAUUGAAUGAGCCGAUGUCGGAUUAGCUAGUUGGCGGGGUAAAGGCCCACCAAGGCGACGAUCCGUAGCUGGUCUGAGAGGAUGAUCGGCCACACUAGAACUGGAACACGGUCCAGACUCCUACGGGAGGCAGCAGUGGGGAAUAUUGGACAAUGGGCGCAAGCCUGAUCCAGCCAUACCGCGUGGGUGAAGAAGGCCUUCGGGUUGUAAAGCCCUUUUGUCGGGAAAGAAAAGCAGCAGGUUAAUACCCCGCUGUUCUGACGGUACCCAAAGAAUAAGCACCGGCUAACUUCGUG